GCACGGGUGGGGGCCCCUCUCCUUAGUAAUCUUCCUGAUUGAAAAGAGGCGUAAAAUAUGCAAAAAAAAAAAAAAAUAAUUAAAUAUUUAUUAAGUUAGUAGCUUAAGAUAUAAAAACAUAGCCUAUAAAAACAAUUACAUGGAUAGAAACAUAAUAAAAUAUAUGGUAUGUUCAAAUGAAACCCGUUCGAAACGCUCCACUUGAUGAGUUGACAUUUCAGUUUUGGAACGUGAAUUUUAAAGUGAAGCUGUGUGUGUUGCGCAUGAGCAGUGCUCUUAAACUGUGCAUUUGUAUGAUUUUUAAACACGUGACGCAAUAUUAAAGACUGUUGGUAUGAUUGAAAAUCCGUCCAAGCAGAUAUUCGAGUUAUAAUUCAAUUUUUAACAGCUGAGAGAUGUAAUCCAGUGGUGCUGACCCGCAUGCUGACUGAUCAUCACAAGAAACAUUGAAUGGACUUUAACUUGCAGCAUUUGAUGCGGUACUGCAAUGAAGACGAACAAUUUCUGCGGCGCAUAGUGAUGUUUCAUUACUAUGCGUUACAGAAACUUUCCACUAUUCAUAUAAAGAUGAAACUAACUUAAAACGCACAAUUAAAAUCUGAAAACAACAAUACAUUUAAUGUGUUCUAUAUGUAUGCAGCAAAUCAUAAACUCUUUGUUUCGGAUGAAUGUUGGAGGGGGAAAUUAAUAGUCACAGCUAAUUUGAUGAAUAUUUCUAGUUAUGACUGUUAAUUUCUUUUUCUGACAUUCAUUUGAAACGGGGGGUUUAUCAUUUGCUGCAUGUCCAGUCUUAUUUACCAAAGAAUAAACACAAAGAUCUCCUCGAUGAUGGAAUUUUAUCAGCCACCUGGAAACGCGGUAGGUUUAUUCUUCCUCAUACUUACGGGUGAAGAUUUUAAAUAUAUUAACAAAAAAGAUUUAUUAUAUUACGAAAUCAAAUGCCUCGAAAAUAAACAUUUCUUUAUCAUUUUUAUCAUAUACUCCAUGGUUGUUAAUAAAUUUUCUUUUUUCUUCUGAACUUUGUUUACAUUAUUUUCUGAGGAGUCUUUAAUUAAUAUAGCGCUUAUUUGAUUAGUCGAAAUUCUAGGUUCAGAAUUACUAGUUUCCUCAGACACAAUAAUUUGAUUAUUUCCUGUUAUAUGAAUUAAGUUUUGCCUAUUUCUAGUCGGAGUUGGCAUCUUAAAGUAUAUCUAGCUGAUGAAGUUUGGAGGCGCUCGUAUCGGCUGUGAUUGUGAUGGUUUUUUUGUCAACAUUUGAAAAAUGAUGAAAAGUGGUUCUGUCACCACUUUUCAUUCAGGAAGAAUACUAAGUGACGGGGCGAAACAAGCCCUUCCACAUGCUCCCCACUCCUAUGGAGGAGUCAGCCG
RNAcentral lists this long non-coding RNA (1367 nucleotides) under Androctonus crassicauda. Lineage: Eukaryota; Metazoa; Arthropoda; Arachnida; Scorpiones; Buthidae. The record is from RNAcentral.